RNAcentral lists this long non-coding RNA (767 nucleotides) under Panax ginseng (ginseng). RNAcentral's name for it is "long non-coding RNA (PGIN_LNC012649)". Lineage: Eukaryota; Viridiplantae; Streptophyta; Magnoliopsida; Apiales; Araliaceae. The record is from RNAcentral.
GAAAGUUGAGCUUUUACUAGAACUUUCAAAUUUUGCUAUAAGUGGUAUCAAAAUACAUAGUUAAGGUAGAGUACAUUCGCAUGUCAAGUAUUACACAAUCCGCACGAUUGAGCGAAUAAGUUUGAGUCAAGUGGAGCAAGGGAUCACUCAUGCGUUUCCUUUGCCACUACGUUGUAAAGUAUAAUUUGAGUCGAAUAGAGCAGACUUAAGAUGACUCUGAGAAACUGCUUAGGGUGAAAGGUUCACAAGGAGCAUGGUUAAUUAGAGUCGAGUUAGAGCUUUUGAAUGACUCAAAGAAGGUAUUUUUAAUAGCGACUAUUCUAAUUAUGUGAUAUUUGUGAUGUGUAUUCAAGUGAAGUUAGAUACUUGUGAUGGGUAUUCGGGUGAAAAGUGAAUUUGGUGGAAAAUUUUACAUAAAUCCUACAUUCUUAACCUAAUAAAUUGACUUUUUAGUUAAAGAGGUGAAUCAACAUCCUUCAGGUGUGCGUUGCAUUGGUAAUAAAUUGAUGUACGUGGUAUCAGAGAACGAUUUAUUAUGGAAUUGUAAGAUCCACCCACAUCUUUCACAAUAAUUUAUGUAGAUGAAUUGAUGAUGUUUGGAUAGAACUAAGGAGUGUGAGUCGCAUGCGCGUACACAAGAAGACACUAACAUACAUGUUUGUAACCCUUUGACCUAAAAGUUUAAACUAUUAGGUCUUAAGUCCAUUCAUAUAUAUUAAUCAUUCACUUAUUCAUUAAAGCAUCUGAUGUGAGAUUCCAAUUCCUAA